CGAGGGAUCAGACCACUUAGCCAAGAAGGACACUGACAUCGUGAGGACAACCAGAGAGUUGCGCCGGAGAAGUGCGUCAUUGAGAAGCCUAAACGACACACGCGGAGCUUCCCACCUGAGACCUCCAACACGCCCACACCUCUUCCCCGUCUCAUCGUCGGCCAACCGGCGUACACGCUGAGGCGCCUCCUGAAAGUUUGACCGCGGGGCAGGGGAUUCCAAUACCUGGUUGUCUGGGAGGGUUAUGACCCGCAGGAGAGGUGCUAGGUCCCCGCUAGGGACAUCCUGGACCCAGGUCUCAUUGCUGAGUUCCAACACCGGCACGCCCAUCUUCCUCAUUAUCCCCAUUGUAUUUAUACCUGUGCUCUCUGUUUGUCUGUUGCCAGUUAGUUUUGUUUCAUCAAGCGUACCAGCGUUUUGCCCCCGUGCUCCUGUCUGUCUCUAGUCCCUGUUUUCUAGCUUUCCCGGUUUUUAACCAUUCUGCCUGCCCUGACCCUGCCUGUCGUUCUGUACCUUGUCACACCACCAUGGAUUACUGACCUCUGCCUGCCCUGACCCUGAGCCUGCCUGCCGUUCUGUACCUUUCAGACUAUGCUCUGGACUACUGACCUCUGCCUGCCCUUGACCUGUCGUUUGCCUACCCCCUGUUUUUGUAAAAAACUUUUGAUACUUCGAAACUCUGCAUCUGGGUCUUCUCCUGAACAGUGACAGGUGGAGUGUUGUAGAGAUGGUUGUCCUUCUGGAAGGUUCUCCCAUCUCCACAGAGGAACUCUGGAGCUCUGUCAGAGUGACCAUCGGGUUCUUGGUCACCUCCCUGACCAAGGCCCUUCUCCCCCGAUUUCUCAGUUUGGCCAGUCGGCCAGCUCUAGGAAGAGUCUUGGUGGUUCCAAACUUUUUCCAUUUAAGAAUGAUGGAGGCUACUGUGUUCUUGAGGACCUUCAAUACUGCAGAAAUGAUUUGGUGCCCUUCCCCAGAUCUGUGCCUCAACACAAUCCUGUCUCACAGAUCUAUCGACAAUUCCUUCGACCUCACCUCAUGUGGGACCUUAUAUAAACAGGUGUGUGCCUUUACAAAUCAUGUCCAAUCAAUUGAAUUUACCACAGGUGGACUCCAGACAAGUUGUAGAAACAUCUCAAGGAUGAUCAAUGGAAACAGGAUACACCUGAGCUCAAUUUCAAGUCUCAUAGCAAAGGGUCUGAAUACUUAUGUAAAUAAUCAUUUUUAUUUUUAAUACAUUUGCAAAAAUGUCUAAAAACCUGUUUUUGCGAUGUCAUUAUGGGGUAUUGUGUGUAGAUUGAUGAGGGAAAAAAUGUAUUAAAUCAAUUUUAGAACAAGGCUGUAAUGUAACAAAAUGUGGAAAAAGUCAAGGAGUCUGAAUACUUUACGAAUGCACUGUACAUCAUCCAACGAAGUGCUUACUUGCAGGUUCCUUUUCGACAAUGC
Molecule: long non-coding RNA, 1443 nt
Filed under: Salmo salar (Atlantic salmon)
Lineage: Eukaryota; Metazoa; Chordata; Actinopteri; Salmoniformes; Salmonidae
Description: lncRNA (ENSSSAG00000107902.1)
Source: RNAcentral